This 119-nucleotide ribosomal RNA is filed under the name Anolis carolinensis (green anole). Lineage: Eukaryota; Metazoa; Chordata; Lepidosauria; Squamata; Anolidae. The record is from RNAcentral.
UAUUGGGGUCUUAAUACCCUAAAGACACCAGAUCCUGUCUGAUCUCGAAUGCUAAGCAGGGUCAGGACUGGUUCAUAUUUGGAUGGGGUACUUCCAGGAAACACCAGGUGGUGCAGUUU